Molecule: ribosomal RNA, 118 nt
Filed under: Periophthalmus magnuspinnatus
Lineage: Eukaryota; Metazoa; Chordata; Actinopteri; Gobiiformes; Gobiidae
Source: RNAcentral
UUUUGUGGGCAACCUUUCUUGUCAAACCCUGAUCUUGUCAGACCUCAGAAGCUAAGCACAGGUGUGUCUGGUUUAUACUUUGAUAGGAGACUGCUAGGAAUACCAGGUUCCAGAGGGA